RNAcentral lists this long non-coding RNA (796 nucleotides) under Homo sapiens (human). Its description in RNAcentral is "HSALNT0208374". The record is from RNAcentral. Lineage: Eukaryota; Metazoa; Chordata; Mammalia; Primates; Hominidae.
GAGUGCCGCCGCAGAGGCGAGCCCGCUCCAGACAGUGGCGGUUGCGUGAGCGCCCCUCCCCCCACCGGGCUUUGGAGCGCGGGCUCCCACGCCGGCCCGGAGAGCUGCCCGACUGAGCAUGCGCGUCGCGCUGCCGAGCCUCCUGAGAGCCCGCGGGCUGGCGCCGACCUUUCUUGCCGGCUCCGGCGUGAGAGGCCCGUCGGUGUGAGAGGCUCAGCGUGUGUCGCCCAGUGUCAGUGCCUUUGGGGCGGGGGACAGCGUCCCCACUUUCCUUCUACUGAAUCCUCGGGCCCGUGGGCAGAACCCAUUUCUUUUGUUUGUGGGCCUGGGUACCUUGCAGGGCCUUUCUCUAUUCCCCACCGGCUCAGGACCCAUCCAGCUUGUACUUGCUGACUCGGGAGGGAACUCGGGACGUAGGGCCAUGCGGGGAGAGGACCUGGCCUGAUCUGGGAGGCAAGGGGCGGGGAGGUGUUAGAGAGUUCAUCCUUCCCCACUCUCUCCGGGCUCGCGCUGCCUCGGGGAUUCCCGUGGCGUCCUGGGAGUUCCCGUGCCACCUUCCUUCCAGCUGGCAGCUCUGCAGACACCUCCACCCGUGAACAUCACGCUCAAGUUCUGGAGACAGGGAGGAGGGCUGGGGGAUCCAGAGAUCCAGCCUGAAUAGACUUCUGCUCUCUGCUCAGCUAAGCACCCAACACUGAGAAAUGAACAGGUUCCUUCUCUCCCAUCACCCCUCAGAUUCCCCAGUGGCCCAGGAAAAAAUAUCUUGGUCUUUGCCAAGGUAGACUCAGCCUUGUCA